GGUGGAAACGCAUUGCUAUGAUGAAAGGGGAGCCAGAAACAAAUCUUUUACAGAUUAUGAGGAGGAAUGCUCUUUUCAAUUGGUGCAGUAAAAACAGUUAAAUAUGAGAUGGUAAAUCUUGCCUCUUGUCUCUAUGAACUUGGUGGACACCAUUACGGCUGUCAAUUAGAGAAAGAGGAAACAGUAUUCAUGGUUAGUCUUUUGAAGGCCCUUUUUUUUUUUACCUCCACGCAGCCAAUAGCGAGAGUUUGGGGCGUGGCUACUGUAGCAGCUGAGCCAGAGGAUGUUUAGCCAGAGUGGAAAUAGGCAGUUAGAUUCCGUCAGAGAAGUGCUAGCCAAAAUUCGAUGACUUGUCAAAAUACUCAGACAGACAAGGGUUAACAUUGGCAGCGUUUUGACAAGAUGGAGAAAUUUGAUGAAAUGUUUGGGUUUCAGUCGAUAAGACAAACUUGCCGAGUUUCUUCCCGACAGGGGAAGCUGAACUUAAAGUUUAAACUAUUCCUUAAAUGUUAGACUUUUUAUUGAAAGUAGUCUAAUGUUACUUUUACCUGUUGAGACAUGACUUCCAUUUUUUAUAGACCCUUAAGAGCUGUGUUUGAGUUAGGGAAGGCGUGAGGCGCGAAAAGGACGCUUGCAUAGAUUGUUUGAAAACAUGUAUUAUUUUUGUAUUUCUGCUAGGUGACACUAUAGUAGCGCAGAGACUGCCUACAGAACCUUCAAUGCACGCUGGAGACAUGCACUGUAAGAACACACAGUUCACACAGCCACAUAGUCUGGUCUCCCAUGUGAAAAAGGACUCAACCCUAUGCGGUAUUACUUACCUGUCGAUUCAAGACUCCUUGAUCUCCUGUGGUUCCCUUGUGCGUUCCUGUGUGUGUGUGUCCUACAUCUACUUACCUAGAUCCAACUCUGUUACACCAGCUCCUGGAAACACCCCGAUCCUCACCGUCUCCAUCCGACCUGGUAAUCAAGAACAUUAUCUGUCAGUAUCCUCCUCCUGUUCGUUAAAGACUCUAAAUCUGCAAUACUCACCAGUUCUAUGGUCAUCUACAUCUCGUUUAAUAAACCUGUCUGUUUGA
This is a long non-coding RNA of Cyprinus carpio carpio, 1079 nucleotides long. The record is from Ensembl. Lineage: Eukaryota; Metazoa; Chordata; Actinopteri; Cypriniformes; Cyprinidae.